This 253-nucleotide ribosomal RNA is filed under the name uncultured bacterium. Its description in RNAcentral is "partial 16S ribosomal RNA". It matches the Rfam family "Bacterial small subunit ribosomal RNA", at positions 524 to 776 of the family's 1533-position model. The record is from RNAcentral.
UACGGAGGGUGCAAGCGUUAUCCGGAUUCACUGGGUUUAAAGGGUGCGUAGGUGGGCUAGUAAGUCCGUGGUGAAAUCUCUGAGCUUAACUCGGAAACUGCCGUGGAUACUAUUAGUCUUGAAUCUCGUGGAGGUAAGCGGAAUAUGUCAUGUAGCGGUGAAAUGCUUAGAUAUGACAUAGAACACCGAUAGCGAAGGCAGCUUGCUACACGAGUAUUGACACUGAGGCACGAAAGCGUGGGGAGCGAUCAGG